This 348-nucleotide ribosomal RNA is filed under the name uncultured Methanosaeta sp. Its description in RNAcentral is "bacterial SSU rRNA". It matches the Rfam family "Archaeal small subunit ribosomal RNA", at positions 996 to 1338 of the family's 1478-position model. Lineage: Archaea; Methanobacteriati; Methanobacteriota; Methanomicrobia; Methanotrichales; Methanotrichaceae. The record is from RNAcentral.
GGCCGUCGUCAGUUCGUACUGUGAAGCGAUCCUGUUAAGUCAGGCAACGAGCGAGACCCACGCCCACCAGUUGCCAGCGUACUCUCUGGAGUGACGGGUACACUGUGGGGGACCGCCGGCUGCUAAAGCGGAGGAAGGAAUGGGCAACGGUAGGUCAGUAUGCCCCGAAUAUCCCGGGCUACACGCGAGCUACAAUGGUUGGUACAAUGGGUAUCUACCCCGAAAGGGGACGGGAAUCUCCUAAAACCAAUCUUAGUUCGGAUUGAGGGCUGCAACUCGCCCUCAUGAAGCUGGAAUCCGUAGUAAUCGCGUUUCAACAGAACGCGGUGAAUACGUCCCUGCUCCCUU